UGAACGGCGAUGCAAUCGGAACUGGAGA
Molecule: small RNA, 28 nt
Filed under: Bombyx mori (domestic silkworm)
Lineage: Eukaryota; Metazoa; Arthropoda; Insecta; Lepidoptera; Bombycidae
Description: ovarian small RNA-7937
Source: RNAcentral